RNAcentral lists this ribosomal RNA (446 nucleotides) under uncultured soil bacterium. RNAcentral's name for it is "bacterial SSU rRNA". It matches the Rfam family "Bacterial small subunit ribosomal RNA", at positions 26 to 518 of the family's 1533-position model. The record is from RNAcentral.
AGAGCGAACGCUGGCGGCAGGCCUAACACAUGCAAGUCGAACGGACCCUUCGGGGUUAGUGGCGGACGGGUGAGUAACACGUGGGAACGUGCCUUUAGGUUCGGAAUAGCUCCUGGAAACGGGUGGUAAUGCCGAAUGUGCCCUUCGGGGGAAAGAUUUAUCGCCUUUAGAGCGGCCCGCGUCUGAUUAGCUUGUUGGUGGGGUAAUGGCCCACCAAGGCUACGAUCAGUAGCUGGUCUGAGAGGAUGACCAGCCACAUUGGGACUGAGACACGGCCCAAACUCCUACGGGAGGCAGCAGUGGGAAUCUUGCGCAAUGGGCGAAAGCCUGACGCAGCCAUGCCGCGUGUAUGAUGAAGGUCUUAGGAUUGUAAAAUACUUUACACCGUGAAGAUAAUGACUGUAGCCGGAGAAGAAGCCCCGGCUAACUUCGUGCCAGCAGCCGAC